This 443-nucleotide ribosomal RNA is filed under the name uncultured bacterium. RNAcentral's name for it is "partial 16S ribosomal RNA". It matches the Rfam family "Bacterial small subunit ribosomal RNA", at positions 338 to 795 of the family's 1533-position model. The record is from RNAcentral.
CCUACGGGUGGCAGCAGUGGGGAAUAUUGGGCAAUGGGCGCAAGCCUGACCCAGCAACGCCGCGUGAAGGAAGAAGGCUUUCGGGUUGUAAACUUCUUUUAUGAGGGACGAAAGAAAUGACGGUACCUCAUGAAUAAGACACGGCUAACUACGGGCCAGCAGCCGCGGUAAUACGUAGGUGGCAAGCGUUAUCCGGAUUUACUGGGUGUAAAGGGCGUGUAGGCGGGACUGCAAGUCAGAUGUGAAAAUUAUGGGCUCAACCCAUAACCUGAAGUGGAAACUGUAGAUCUUGAGUGAUGUAGAGGCAGGCGGAAUUCCGGGUGUAGCGGUGAAAUGCGUAGAUAUACGGAGGAACACCAGUGGCGAAGGCAGGCUGCUGGACAUUUACUGACGCUGAGGCGCGAAAGCGUGGGUAGCAAACAGGAUUAGAUACCCGAGUAGUC